Molecule: ribosomal RNA, 400 nt
Filed under: uncultured bacterium
Lineage: Bacteria
Description: partial 16S ribosomal RNA
Source: RNAcentral
UAUCCCCGCACUUACUGAUAUUCUCCUUUACCAUGUGGUACCAGGAAAGGUCAUGGCAUCCGAGUUAGCAGGAAUGACUUCCGUUAACACACUUGCCGAGAAGCCUCUAUCCGUCUCCGUUAAAGGUGGCGACGUAAUGGUGAACGAUGCCAGGAUCAUUAUUACCGAUAUCGAAGCGUCAAACGGCGUUAUCCAUGUCAUCGAUACGGUGCUAAUUCCGUAGGAUUAAUCAUAAAUAACAAAAAAUGAAGGAGAUGAGGGAAAUGUCGAACAUUAUUCAAAUUGCAUCAUCAAGUGGAACUUUCAAAACACUGGUUGAUGCAGUGCAGGCGGCGGGUCUCAGUGAAACUCUUUCGGGUAAAGGACCAUUUACCGUAUUCGCCCCAGCAGCCGCGGUAAU